CCUACGGGGGGCAGCAGUGGGGAAUAUUGCACAAUGGGGGAAAGCCUGAUGCAGCAACGCCGCGUGAGUGAAGAAGUCAUUCGGGAUGUAAAGCUCUAUCAGCAGGGAAGAAAAGGACGGUACCUGACUAAGAAGCCCCGGCUAACUACGUGACAGCAGCCGCGGUAAUACGUAGGGGGCCAGCGGUAUCCGGAUUUACUGGGUGUAAAGGGGGCGUUGUCGGGGACGAAAGGCGGAAGUGAAAUGGCUGUGCUCAACACUGGAACUGCUGUGGAAACUGGGUGGCUAGAGUGCAGGAGAGGUAGGUGGAAUGCCUAGUGUAGCGGUGAAAUGCGUAGAUAUUAGGAGGAACACCAGUGGCGAAGGCGGCUUACUGGACUGUAACUGACGUUGAGGCACGAAGGCGUGGGGAGCAAACAGGAUUAGAUACCCCAGUAGUC
Molecule: ribosomal RNA, 440 nt
Filed under: uncultured bacterium
Lineage: Bacteria
Description: partial 16S ribosomal RNA
Rfam family: Bacterial small subunit ribosomal RNA
Source: RNAcentral